UACGUAGGGGGCAAGCGUUGUCCGGAAUCAUUGGGCGUAGAGAGCGUGUAGGCGGCUCGAUAAGUCUGCUGUGAAAGUCCAGGGCUCAACCCUGGAAGGCCGGUGGAAACUGUCGGGCUAGAGUCCGGAAGAGGCGAGUGGAAUUCCUGGUGUAGCGGUGAAAUGCGCAGAUAUCAGGAGGAACACCAAUGGCGAAGGCAGCUCGCUGGGACGGUACUGACGCUGAGACGCGAAAGCGUGGGGAGCAAACAGG
Molecule: ribosomal RNA, 253 nt
Filed under: uncultured bacterium
Lineage: Bacteria
Description: partial 16S ribosomal RNA
Rfam family: Bacterial small subunit ribosomal RNA
Source: RNAcentral